Molecule: unclassified non-coding RNA, 148 nt
Organism: Macaca fascicularis (crab-eating macaque)
Lineage: Eukaryota; Metazoa; Chordata; Mammalia; Primates; Cercopithecidae
Rfam family: Metazoan signal recognition particle RNA
About the family: The signal recognition particle (SRP) is a universally conserved ribonucleoprotein. It is involved in the co-translational targeting of proteins to membranes.
Source: Ensembl
GCCAGGUGUGUUGGCACACACCUGUAAUCCCAGCUACUUAGGAGGCUGAGGCAGGAGAAUCACUUGAACCCAGGAGGCGGAGGUUGCAGUGAACCAAGAUCAUACCACUGCACUCCAGCUUGGGUGACAGAGUGAGACUCCGUCUCUA